AGAAUGAACGCUGGCGGCGUGCUUAACACAUGCAAGUCGAACGGAAUCCAAGGAGCUUGCUCUGGAAGAUUUAGUGGCGAACGGGUGGAGUAUCACGUGAGCAACCUGCCCCGAAGACUGGGAUAACACCGGGAAACCGGUGCUAAUACCGGAUACCUUCCAAUGACCGCAUGGUCGAUGGAAGAAAUGUUUUUCGCUUCGGGAGGGGCUCGCGGUCCAUCAGCUUGUUGGCGGGGUAACGGCCCACCAAGGCUUCGACGGAUAGCUGGUCUGAGAGGACGAUCAGCCACACUGGAACUGAGACACGGUCCAGACUCCUACGGGAGGCAGCAGUGGGGAAUUUUGCGCAAUGGGGGAAACCCUGACGCAGCAACGCCGCGUGGAGGAUGAAGCCCCUUGGGGCGUAAACUCCUUUCGACCAAGACGAUAAUGACGGUACUGGUGGAAGAAGCACCGGCUAACUCUGUGCCAGCAGCCGC
This 479-nucleotide ribosomal RNA is filed under the name uncultured bacterium. RNAcentral describes it as "SSU rRNA". It matches the Rfam family "Bacterial small subunit ribosomal RNA", at positions 26 to 518 of the family's 1533-position model. The record is from RNAcentral.